RNAcentral lists this ribosomal RNA (253 nucleotides) under uncultured bacterium. Its description in RNAcentral is "partial 16S ribosomal RNA". It matches the Rfam family "Bacterial small subunit ribosomal RNA", at positions 524 to 776 of the family's 1533-position model. The record is from RNAcentral.
UACGUAGGGUGCAAGCGUUGUCCGGAAUUAUUGGGCGUAAAGAGCUCGUAGGCGGUCUGUCGCGUCGGCUGUGAAAACUGGGGGCUCAACCCCCAGCCUGCAGUGGGUACGGGCAGACUAGAGUGCGGUAGGGGAGAUUGGAAUUCCUGGUGUAGCGGUGGAAUGCGCAGAUAUCAGGAGGAACACCGGUGGCGAAGGCGGCUCACUGGUCCGAUACUGACGCUGAGGUGCGAAAGCGUGGGGAGCAAACAGG